This 427-nucleotide ribosomal RNA is filed under the name uncultured bacterium. RNAcentral's name for it is "bacterial SSU rRNA". It matches the Rfam family "Bacterial small subunit ribosomal RNA", at positions 335 to 752 of the family's 1533-position model. The record is from RNAcentral.
ACUCCUACGUGGAGGCUGCAGUGGGGAAUCUUCCGCAAUGGACGAAAGUCUGACGGAGCAACGCCGCGUGUAUGAUGAAGGUCUUCGGAUUGUAAAGUACUGUCUUUGGGGAAGAAUGACUGGUUUGAGAAUAUUGAGUCAGUAUGACGGUACCCAAGGAGGAAGCCCCGGCUAACUACGUGCCAGCAGCCGCGGUAAUACGUAGGGGGCAAGCGUUGUCCGGAAUUAUUGGGCGUAAAGGGCGCGUAGGCGGAUAGUUAAGUCCGGUGUGAAAGAUCAGGGCUCAACCCUGAGAGUGCAUCGGAAACUGGUUAUCUUGAGGACAGGAGAGGAAAGUGGAAUUCCACGUGUAGCGGUGAAAUGCGUAGAUAUGUGGAGGAACACCAGUGGCGAACGCGACUUUCUGGACUGUAACUGACGCUGAGGC